UGGAUUCUCAGAAAAGGAGGGAAGCCGUAGAAGAGCUAACGGUGAUUAGAGGGGGGAUAUUGAUUCCUUAUUCUGCCAGAGAUUUAAGCAGGCAUGCGAGGAAUCUGCACCAUGGUUGGCAAAGGAGCCCCCCUGUAACCAGACACUGGGGCUUUCCAGGAGCCCAGGGAGAGAGCUGAGAAGAAAGGGGGCAGUGUGGUCUAGGAAAAUUCAACUUGUCGCUGAUUUGUGCCUGAUGCUUGCUGUCCGUCAGCAGCCUCCCUUACAAUCUUUUUUUCUCUCUCUCCCUUUUUUUCUUGCUUUCUCCUUCUUCACCGAAGCCUAGGGGAGCUAGCAAAGAUUAAAUGUGCUUUCUCAAAGGCGGCCACUUCAUGCUGCUAUGUCGAAAGGGCCAUUAUUAUUAUUAUUUUUAAUAGUAAAAGAAAAAGGGAGAGAGAGCUUGAGACAGAGAGGGAGAAGCAAGGUAGGUUGAUGACGGACUGGCCUUUCUGAGAGGAAGAGGAAAGUGAGAGAGAAAGGAGAGACCCUGAGCUGAACGGAGCACUGUGCCUGAGAAGAACCUAUGGAGUCGUGUUGAUGUUCCUUUCAGCUGGUCCUAUAGCCCCCCUCCCUCCUCAGGAAGGUCUCCCCAGUGAAAGGACAGAAACUUCAGAGAUACAGCGGCACUGAUGGACACUCAAGCCAACAAUGGAGUUGAAACAGAGAGAGAGAUCACCUGAAGACACCUUCCCUGCUAAGGAGCACACCCCUAAUGGCGCAGUUAGAGACAAUAGACUCUCAGAACACGAGGCAAUCCUUUCAAGAAACAGAAAAAAUUUAACAGUGACAUCUAGAUUUCUAAAGAGCCAAGGACUGCCCCUUCCUCGUGUGUAUUCCUCUGUUUGUAUUUAAAUUCAGUGUGACAUCCGUUUCUAAAAUAUUUCCCCAGGACUAGGAUGCUUAUUAAUGCAUCAAUUUUUUUAUAAUAGAAUGUAGCACGUGUGUUCAUGUGGUAAGGAACAAAGUUAGUGCUAGAAGAACAUCGGUUUUUAGCCACACACAGUUCGACUGAAAGUGUGACCUAAAGGAACAUAAAGUACUUUUGAAAUACCAGAGUAGUCAGAGGCAAUCCGAAGGAUAAAAUGACAGACACGAUCACACCUGACACCAACCAGUCAACCAUUCUUUUAAUCAAGCAAGAUGGGUUCGCUGGGACAUGGUCACUGCAUCUAAAGAGUUUAAAUUUCAUUAGACAGAGAUACAUAAAUUUUUGAAAAGAUAGUCGCAAAUCAGGUCCAUGGAUGUUAAGACCACAACCAAGCUAAAGAUAUAAGCAAACUGUUCAGAGGAGGUCACCAUAAUCUGGGCAAGCCUGGCCUGUUUAGGGAAGAAAGUUCCCAAAGGAGGAAAAUACAAGAUGGAUCUUAAAGGAUAGUAAGAUUUAGGGGCGCCUGGUUAGUUCAGUUGGUAGAUCAUGAGACUCUGAAUCUCAGGGUUGUGAGUUCAAACCCCAUGUGGGGCAUGGAGCCUACUUACAAAAAAAGGCAGGUAAUUAAAGAUUUAGAUAAAUGGAAAGGAAAGAGAGAGUAGAUUCCUUUAAAUGAAUGUAAUGUUGUGAGCAUUCAUGUGAGAGGAAGGAAUCUAUGUGGUGAAUAUAGAGAAUUAUGAGUAUAUGUGUCUAGUUGAUGGCAGCAUAUAUGUAAACACGUAUGGUAAGGACUUCGCACACACGUGUCCCUUCUCCCACCUUCGGUGUCACCUAGAACUAUCAUCUUAUUUUCCACCAAAGCACGUGGUGGUGACUGGUGGUAAUAUGAGCACUUAUGACUUUUCUUUAACGUAACAAGAAUUAGUAUUUAUUGAGUUCUUACUGUAUGUUAAGCUUUUUACAUAUGAACUCACUUAAGCUUACAACCCAGAAAGCCCUGCAAAAUAGGUAUUAUUAGGCCUGUUUUGAAGCUAACCUGUAAUGAGAUGAAGUAACUUGCCAAACUGGCAUGUACAGGGUUCACAUUCAAGAAUUGUGAUCGUAAAUCUCAUGAUCUGAAGCACAAAGUCACAAUAUUGUGAUCAGUGUUGUAGUAUUACCACUUCUGUAUUCCCCAAUAGUUUUUUAUGGUAAAAAAAAAUAGCUAUGACCUUCAGUUAUCCCCUCAAAACUUUUAAUUUUCUGCUUACAUUACAGUAUAAUGAUCGAAACACUUUUCAUGGGAGAAAACUGACAAAAUUGGGGAAUAGAACUUAUCAGCAUUUUAGGCAUCCAGAUUUUGAAGAAAUUGUUCACCUUAUUCUGCAUGAAAUCUGAAAUUUUUUAGAAUUACUAAAAGAUGGGGGGAACUCUAAGGUCAUCUGUUGCAAUGUGCAUUUCCACAGAGGUCAAAUCAAAGUUUGAGUGACUUACAAGGAGCUCACACAUUUCAGUGUGUCAGAGCGAGGUCCAGAAACCAAGCUGUCCAAGUCUCUUCUCCGAGGCUCUUGAAUUACUCCACCAUGCCUAAAUGAAGUUUGAACUUGAAUUUGAUCAAGGAAGGCAUUCUCUCUGGGUGAUCAGGAAGCACUACACCCAGCAGAUGGUUUCAAUUUUGCACCUUUUGGGCUUCCCACCUCAACGUGAAAAAUAGCCAGUUAUGAACUAACAUCUCCUGACGCAGACAUUGUCACUGGUUCAUCCCCAAAGAACACAUAAUGGCUUAAAUUAUGUGUACAAUCUUUUCAAUGAUAUUCUUAAGUUAUUUGAAAUUCUUAGUUCACCUAAACAAAUCAGAUCUUCUAAUGAGCAUUUCCUUACCCAAUUUUAAGCACAGUAUGUAUUUGUUAGUGCUUCUGCAUGAAUAUUUAUACACGACUGUUUCAAUAGUCCUUAUGUUUUUGAAAAUAUCAGUGGUUAUUUGCUAUUUUAAUCCUCACUUAUCCAGGUAACUGUCUCAAGAAUACUUCAGCCAUAAAAAGCUAGAAGUGAGGAAAUCUCACUCUUUUUUACUGACUCCUUUGCAUUUAAUUGGCAUUUAGUAAUGAUUAAUAAAGUGGUCAACUGGAUAACACAGUUCCAAGAUGCAAUUCUGUCUGGAAGGAGUCAGUUAAGCUGUGUCUACUUAAGAACAAACAUCUAGACCUUUGGAAGCACCUGAAUAUGUGACUGUUGUAAAUUUCCACUUCAAAAUCUGGCAUUGUCAGACCUAGACCUCCUUGUAGCUCAGGCUGUCCUGUUUUCAAAAUGAUGAUUAUUGGCCGUAUCUCACACAGUUCUCAUUAAAUAAGUAGCCAAGCACAAAAUGUGACUCUUGACAUUUUCUGAGACUUUGUCGUAUGUCCCUUGAAUCCCCAAAUAAAAGCAAUGUUGCAUCAACUGUGAA
Long non-coding RNA from Suricata suricatta (meerkat), 3332 nucleotides. RefSeq lists it as uncharacterized. NCBI's taxonomy places the organism in Eukaryota, Metazoa, Chordata, Mammalia, Carnivora, Herpestidae. The record is from RefSeq and is a predicted model, not a curated record. The transcript has 2 exons.